RNAcentral lists this ribosomal RNA (375 nucleotides) under Vibrio sp. RNAcentral describes it as "bacterial SSU rRNA". It matches the Rfam family "Bacterial small subunit ribosomal RNA", at positions 961 to 1335 of the family's 1533-position model. The record is from RNAcentral. Lineage: Bacteria; Pseudomonadati; Pseudomonadota; Gammaproteobacteria; Vibrionales; Vibrionaceae.
GCGAAGAACCUUACCUACUCUUGACAUCCAGAGAACUUAGCAGAGAUGCUUUGGUGCCUUCGGGAACUCUGAGACAGGUGCUGCAUGGCUGUCGUCAGCUCGUGUUGUGAAAUGUUGGGUUAAGUCCCGCAACGAGCGCAACCCUUAUCCUUGUUUGCCAGCGAGUAAUGUCGGGAACUCCAGGGAGACUGCCGGUGAUAAACCGGAGGAAGGUGGGGACGACGUCAAGUCAUCAUGGCCCUUACGAGUAGGGCUACACACGUGCUACAAUGGCGCAUACAGAGGGCGGCCAACUUGCGAAAGUGAGCGAAUCCCAAAAAGUGCGUMGKRGUCCGGAUUGGAGUCUGCAACUCGACUCCAUGAAGUCGGAAUCGC